This 203-nucleotide microRNA precursor is filed under the name Oryza nivara. RNAcentral's name for it is "MIR812 microRNA precursor family". It matches the Rfam family "MIR812 microRNA precursor family". Lineage: Eukaryota; Viridiplantae; Streptophyta; Magnoliopsida; Poales; Poaceae. The record is from Rfam by way of RNAcentral.
UAUAAGGGAUUUUGAGUUUUUACUUGCUACGUUUGACCACUCGUCUUAUUCAAAAUUUUUUAAAAUUAUUAAUUAUUUUAUUUGUGACUUGCUUUAUUAUUUAUGGUACUUUAAGCACAACUUUUCGUUUUUUAUAUUUGUAAAAAAAAUUUAAAUAAGACGAGUGGUCAAACGUUACCAGCAAAAACUGAAAAUCCCUUAUA